GGUUCAGGAUGAACGCUAGCGACAGGCCUAACACAUGCAAGUCAGGGGCAGCACAAGGAGCAAUCUGAGGUGGCGACCGGCGCACGGGUGAGUAACACGUAUGCAACCUGCCUGUAAGCGGGGAAUAACCCGUUGAAAGACGGACUAAUACCGCAUAAUACUAAAUUACUGCAUGGUAAUUUAUUUAAACAUUUAUGGCUUACAGAUGGGCAUGCGCAUGAUUAGCUAGUUGGAGAGGUAACGGCUCCCCAAGGCAACGAUCAUUAGGGGUUCUGAGAGGAAGGUCCCCCCACACUGGUACUGAGACACGGACCAGACUCCUACGGGAGGCAGCAGUGAGGAAUAUUGGUCAAUGGACGAGAGUCUGAACCAGCCAAGUCGCGUGCAGGAAGAAUGUUCCCUAUGGAUUGUAAACUGCUUUUGCAGGGGAAUAAAGUGCAUCACGUGUGAUGUUUUGUAUGUACUCUGCGAAUAAGGAUCGGCUAACUCCGUGCCAGCCGCCGC
RNAcentral lists this ribosomal RNA (504 nucleotides) under uncultured bacterium. Its description in RNAcentral is "bacterial SSU rRNA". It matches the Rfam family "Bacterial small subunit ribosomal RNA", at positions 21 to 518 of the family's 1533-position model. The record is from RNAcentral.